AUCCAACUGACGAGUCCCAAACAGUCCGAAACGCACGUCCUGAAU
RNAcentral lists this non-coding RNA (45 nucleotides) under Schistosoma margrebowiei. The record is from RNAcentral. Lineage: Eukaryota; Metazoa; Platyhelminthes; Trematoda; Strigeidida; Schistosomatidae.